CCUACGGGAGGCAGCAGUGAGGAAUAUUGGGCAAUGGACGAGAGUCUGACCCAGCAAAGUAGCGUGAAGGAUGAAUGCCCUAUGGGUUGUAAACUUUUUUUAUAUGGGAAUAAAAUGUUCCACGUGUGGGAUUUUGUAUGUACCAUAUGAAUAAGGAUCGGCUAACUCCGUGCCAGCAGCCGCGGUAAUACGGAGGAUCCGAGCGUUACCCGGAUUUAUUGGGUUUAAAGGGAGCGUAGGUGGAUUGUUAAGUCAGUUGUGAAAGUUUGCGGCUCAACCGUAAAAUUGCAGUUGAAACUGGCAUUCUUGAGUACAGUAGAGGUGGGCGGAAUUCGUGGUGUAGCGGUGAAAUGCUUAGAUAUCACGAAGAACUCCGAUUGCGAAGGCAGCUCACUGGACUGCAACUGACGCUGAGGCUCGAAAGUGUGGGUAUCAAACAGGAUUAGAUACCCUGGUAGUC
This 460-nucleotide ribosomal RNA is filed under the name uncultured bacterium. Its description in RNAcentral is "partial 16S ribosomal RNA". It matches the Rfam family "Bacterial small subunit ribosomal RNA", at positions 338 to 795 of the family's 1533-position model. The record is from RNAcentral.